Molecule: ribosomal RNA, 253 nt
Filed under: uncultured bacterium
Lineage: Bacteria
Description: partial 16S ribosomal RNA
Rfam family: Bacterial small subunit ribosomal RNA
Source: RNAcentral
UACGUAGGGGGCGAGCGUUGUCCGGAUUUAUUGGGCGUAAAGCGCGCGUAGGCGGCUGCGCAAGUCGGUUGUGAAACCCCGGGGCUCAACCCCGGAACUGCAUCCGAUACUGCGUGGCUAGAGGUAGGUAGGGGAGAUCGGAAUUCCUGGUGUAGCGGUGAAAUGCGCAGAUAUCAGGAGGAACACCGGUGGCGAAGGCGGGUCUCUGGACAGUUCCUGACGCUGAGGCACGAAGGCCAGGGGAGCAAACGGG